Molecule: long non-coding RNA, 215 nt
Filed under: Malus domestica (apple)
Lineage: Eukaryota; Viridiplantae; Streptophyta; Magnoliopsida; Rosales; Rosaceae
Description: long non-coding RNA (MDOM_LNC017349)
Source: RNAcentral
GGCUCGGCGUUGCUGUUCCCUCAUAGUUGAAGCAAGAUUGGGAUCUUGUAGUUCUGAAAGCUCCUCCUGUAACACAUAUAUGAAGCAGAAGCAAAGAAAAGCAUGAAUAAAUUAACCAAAAUUUUUACGAGAAAGUUUGAAACAAUGAGUAUUAUGUUCUGUAAAUUAAUCUACCUCACUAGCUAGAAGCAGGCUGGGGCACUCAUCUGCAAUGG